CUCUCUCUCUCUCUCUCGUUGUCUCUCUCUUGCUCUUUCUCAUGCGCACUCUCCCCCUGCCACUGUUUUAGACACGCAUUGCCUCUAUUCAGCUUCUAUUCUAGAAUAACUUUGCGAUAGUCUUGAAGUGGCAGCUGAAAGUCAAGGCAAAACAUCAAAGGAGCUUCCUUUGCAACAAUUUCAGAAUAUUUGACCAACAUUGUAAUUCAUACACCAUUCUCCUAUGGCAGUCCCUCCACAUAUCCUGUACCCCCCUCCUCCAAUUCUGGAUUUCCUCACUUGUUCAGAUUCAAAAGACGGACUCACCAAUAAGAUUGCAGUUAGAAUUUUAUCUGCACUGAUUUCUGGAUUAGAUCUGGCUGAGAACUGAAGAAGCAGAGAGACACUGCAGGGUGAAGGCAGAAUGUUAAAUAUCCUAUUCAGGCUGAACACCUGAAUAAGUCUAAUAA
Pseudonaja textilis is the source of this 449-nucleotide non-coding RNA. NCBI's taxonomy places the organism in Eukaryota, Metazoa, Chordata, Lepidosauria, Squamata, Elapidae. The record is from RefSeq and is a predicted model, not a curated record.